CAGCAGCCGCGCUAAUACCGGCGGCCCGAGUGGCGGCCACUAUUAUUGGGCUUAAAGCGUCCGUAGCCGGGUUGGUUAGUCUCCCGGGAAAUCUGGCCGCUUAACGGUCAGAAUUCCGGGAGAUACUGCCAGCCUAGGGACCGGGAGAGGCCGAGGGUAUUCCCGGAGUAGGGGUGAAAUCCUAUAAUCCCGGGAGGACCACCUGUGGCGAAGGCGCUCGGCUGGAACGGGUCCGACGGUGAGGGACGAAGGCCAGGGGAGCAAACCGGAUUAGAUACCCGGGUAGUCCUGGCUGUAAACGAUGCGGACUUUGUGUCGGACAAGCUAUGAGCUUGUCCGGUGCCGGAGGGAAACCGUUAAGUCCGCCGCCUGGGGAGUACGGCCGCAAGGCUGAAACUUAAAGGAAUUGGCGGG
Molecule: ribosomal RNA, 414 nt
Filed under: uncultured microorganism
Description: bacterial SSU rRNA
Rfam family: Archaeal small subunit ribosomal RNA
Source: RNAcentral